GGGUGAGUAACACGUGGGUAAUUUACCUUUAAGACGGGGAUAACCUAGUGAAAACUAGGCUAAUACCCGGUAUGACCACAUAUACACAAGUAUGUGCGGUGAAAGAUGGCGUACGUUUCGGCUGUCACUUAAAGAUAAGCCCGCGUCCUAUCAGCUAGUUGGUGAGGUAAUGGCCCACCAAGGCGAAGACGGGUAGCUGGUCUGAGAGGAUGGUCAGCCACAUUGGGACUGAGACACUGCCCAGACUCCUACGGGAGGCUGCAGUCGAGGAUCUUUUGCAAUGGGCGAAAGCCUGACAAUGCGACGCCGCGUGAGUGAUGAAGGCCUUCGGGUUGUAAAACUCUGUUUGCCUGGAAGAAAUACUGCGGAUAAAUAGUCCGCAGGGAUGACGGUACGGGCAGAGGAAGCCACGGCUAACUCCGUGCCAGCAGCCGCGGUAAUACGGAGGUGGCAAGCGUUACUCGGAUUCAUUGGGUGUAAAGGGCAUGUAGGUGGUUUUGUAAGUCGAAUGUGAAAUCCUUUGGCUCAACCAAAGAAAUGCACUCGAAACUGCAAAACUUGAGUUUGGGAUAGG
Molecule: ribosomal RNA, 574 nt
Filed under: uncultured Bacillota bacterium
Lineage: Bacteria; Bacillati; Bacillota
Description: bacterial SSU rRNA
Rfam family: Bacterial small subunit ribosomal RNA
Source: RNAcentral